GUUGUUGCAGUUAAAAAGCUCGUAGUUGAAUUUCGGGGUCAGCAAGUUGGUCGUGCCACCGGUAUGUACUGGUUUUGCUGAUUCCUCCUUCUUGUAGAACCGUAAUGCCAUUUAGUUGGUGUUGCGGGGAAACAGGACUGUUACUUUGAAAAAAUUAGAGUGUUUAAAGCAGGCUAACGCCUGAAUACAUUAGCAUGGAAUAAUGAAAUAGGACGAGCGAUCUUAUUUUGUUGGUUUCUAGGAUUGACGUAAUGAUUAAUAGGGAUAGUUGGGGGCAUUAGUAUUCAAUUGUCAGAGGUGAAAUUCUUGGAUUUAUUGAAGACUGACUACUGCGAAAGCAUUUGCCAAGGAUGUUUUCAUUAAUCAAGAACGAAAGUUAGGGGAUCGAAGACGAUCAGAUACCGUCGUAGUCUUAACCAUAAACUAUGCCGACUA
RNAcentral lists this ribosomal RNA (435 nucleotides) under Glomus arbuscular mycorrhizal symbiont of Voyria tenuiflora. Its description in RNAcentral is "SSU rRNA". It matches the Rfam family "Eukaryotic small subunit ribosomal RNA", at positions 609 to 1048 of the family's 1831-position model. Lineage: Eukaryota; Fungi; Glomeromycota; Glomeromycetes; Glomerales; Glomeraceae. The record is from RNAcentral.